RNAcentral lists this long non-coding RNA (526 nucleotides) under Helianthus annuus (common sunflower). RNAcentral's name for it is "sRNA HanXRQr2_Chr08g0348381". The record is from RNAcentral. Lineage: Eukaryota; Viridiplantae; Streptophyta; Magnoliopsida; Asterales; Asteraceae.
UCUCGCACUCUCUCUCUCGUUAAUAUAGUCUGCCGGAGAUUGAAGUCCACCGGAGUUACGAAACACCACUCACAAAAACUCAAACCUCAUCUGCACACGUCACUGGAACUCCAAGGCGACGUCGGAACGACUCAAAGUUCACCAGAGAAACCCGAAGCCACUGGAGCCGCACGGGAUCUACCGUAACUCGUUCCUUCUUCAUCUUCGUUUUAAACGAAGAACACACCGGAGCUCUCGACGAACGCGACUUGACCCAAUUCGGUAUACGUUUCUUUUCAACCAACUCGUUUCAUAUAUGUCGAUAAACGCUCUCGUUCAUUCUCUUGGAUUCUAUCCAAUCUUGCUCGUACGUUCUUACAAGAAAGCGCAACGCAAUCAAUGUUGAUUGAUCAAGAUACAAGAAAACAAGCUAGGACGGCUUUAGAAACCCAUUCUAGAAAUAAACUAUUGUUUGAAUUUAUGUUUGAAUGUUUGAAACUUUGUAUUGUCCUUUGGAAUUUAAUAAAAUGAUUUAAUUCAUAUUGUC